AUUAAAUAUAAUAGAAUAUAACUAAUUAAAUUCGAUUUACAUAAUUCCAAAUUACCUAAAUUAAUAGUUUAAAAAUUCUAAUCUAAAAUUACCUUUUUUAAUCUUAUAUCGAAUCUAAUCUAAUCUAUUUUAUAUUUAAGUUUCCUAAUUUGAUUUAGUUUAAUCUACUAAUGUAAUCUAGAAUUACUUAAGUUGUUCUAUUCCAAUCUAGAAUUUGUAAAUUAGCAUAAAUAUAAAAUAAUUUUGAUUUAGUAUUAUUAGAUAUAUUAGAAUAUAUAGUUGAUUAUAGUAGAUUAUAUAGCCAAUUUAAUUUGACAAUACCAUAAAUAUCUAUACUAAAAUUGUCAAAUAAAUCUUGUAUCUGCAGAUGACAAUAUGCUAUAUAAUCCACCGCUACGAU
RNAcentral lists this long non-coding RNA (400 nucleotides) under Ananas comosus (pineapple). RNAcentral describes it as "long non-coding RNA (ACOM_LNC009150)". The record is from RNAcentral. Lineage: Eukaryota; Viridiplantae; Streptophyta; Magnoliopsida; Poales; Bromeliaceae.